RNAcentral lists this small RNA (354 nucleotides) under Pan troglodytes (chimpanzee). RNAcentral's name for it is "retained intron". Lineage: Eukaryota; Metazoa; Chordata; Mammalia; Primates; Hominidae. The record is from RNAcentral.
GGGAGAAGGGACCUGGGAAGACAGAGGCCUGGGUAUUGGGGGGGCAGGGCCAUGGAAAGAGAAGAGCCUACAGCCCAGGAAUGGGUCUAAACUUCCCCUCUCAAGGCUGCCCUGCUCCCCAGGCUCAGAUCUUGCUGGACUGUGGAGAAGACAACAUCUGUGUGCCUGACCUGCAGCUGGAAGUGUUUGGGGAGCAGAACCAUGUGUACCUGGGUGACAAGAAUGCCCUGAACCUCACUUUCCAUGCCCAGAAUGUGGGUGAGGGUGGCGCCUAUGAGGCUGAGCUUCGGGUCACCGCCCCUCCAGAGGCUGAGUACUCAGGACUCGUCAGACACCCAGGGAACUUCUCCAGCC